GAUGAACGCUGGCGGCGUGCUUAACAUAUGCAAGUCGAACGAGGUACAAGGACGGAAGUUUUCGGAUGGAAGACCUUGUACUGAGUGGCGGACGGGUGAGUAACGCGUGGGAAACCUGCCCUGUUCCGGGGGAUACCAGUUGGAAACGACUGUUAAUACCGCAUAAGCGCACAGCACCGCAUGGUGCAGUGUGAAAAACUCCGGUGGAACAGGAUGGUCCCGCGUCUGAUUAGGCAGUUGGCAGGGUAACGGCCUACCAAACCGACGAUCAGUAGCCGGCCUGAGAGGGUGAACGGCCACAUUGGGACUGAGACACGGCCCAA
This 323-nucleotide ribosomal RNA is filed under the name uncultured bacterium. Its description in RNAcentral is "bacterial SSU rRNA". It matches the Rfam family "Bacterial small subunit ribosomal RNA", at positions 28 to 334 of the family's 1533-position model. The record is from RNAcentral.